AAGUCGUAACAAGGUUUCCGUAGGUGAACCUGCGGAAGGAUCAUUAAAAAAAUUAUAUAUCCAUACCCAACCUUGUGUGCACUCACUGACCGUUCGCUUUGGCAGGAGGGAGUUUCUUGGGAUGAAACGAAUGAUAUGUUUGUUUGAUUCCCAAGAAGCGGGGGGGAGAAAGAGAAAGAGAAAUCUUCUCUAUCUCUCUCGGCCUGCCAGAGUUUUUAAAAUAAUCAACCUUUUUUUAAUUCUUUUAUUUUUGGACUGAAACCUCAAUCUCGAUUCUCUGCAAUCGAUCGAAUCAAAUACAACUUUCAACAACGGAUCUCUUGGCUCUC
Molecule: unclassified non-coding RNA, 329 nt
Filed under: fungal sp.
Lineage: Eukaryota; Fungi
Description: partial internal transcribed spacer region
Rfam family: Eukaryotic small subunit ribosomal RNA (bases 1-46)
Source: RNAcentral